RNAcentral lists this ribosomal RNA (465 nucleotides) under uncultured bacterium. RNAcentral's name for it is "partial 16S ribosomal RNA". It matches the Rfam family "Bacterial small subunit ribosomal RNA", at positions 28 to 507 of the family's 1533-position model. The record is from RNAcentral.
GAUGAACGCUGGCGGCGUGCUUAACACAUGCAAGUCGAACGGAAAGGCUCCUGCUUGCAGGGGUACUCGAGUGGCGAACGGGUGAGUAACACGUGGGUGAUCUGCCCUGCACUUCGGGAUAAGCCUGGGAAACUGGGUCUAAUACCGGAUAGGACGAUGGUUUGGAUGCCAUUGUGGAAAGUUUUUCGGUGUGGGAUGAGCUCGCGGCCUAUCAGCUUGUUGGUGGGGUAAUGGCCUACCAAGGCGUCGACGGGUAGCCGGCCUGAGAGGGUGUACGGCCACAUUGGGACUGAGAUACGGCCCAGGCUCCUACGGGAGGCAGCAGUGGGGAAUAUUGCACAAUGGGCGCAAGCCUGAUGCAGCGACGCCGCGUGGGGGAUGACGGCCUUCGGGUUGUAAACUCCUUUCGCUAGGGACGAAGCGCAAGUGACGGUACCUGGAGAAGAAGCACCGGCUAACUACGUG